CCUACGGGAGGCAGCAGUAGGGAAUAUUGCUCAAUGGGGGAAACUCUGAAGCAGCAAUGCCGCGUGGAGGAUGAAGGUUUUCGGAUUGUAAACUCCUUUUGUUAGAGAAGAUAAUGACGGUAUCUAACGAAUAAGCACCGGCUAACUCCGCUCCAGCAGCCGCGGUAAUACGGAGGGUGCAAGCGUUACUCGGAAUCACUGGGCGUAAAGAGCGCGUAGGCGGGAUAGCAAGUCAGAUGUGAAAUCCUAUGGCUUAACCAUAGAACUGCAUUUGAAACUGUUAUUCUAGAGUAUGGGAGAGGUAGGUGGAAUUCGUGGUGUAGGGGUAAAAUCCGUAGAGAUCAAGAGGAAUACUCAUUGCGAAGGCGACCAGCUAGAACAUAACUGACGCUGAUGCGCGAAAGCGUGGGGAGCAAACAGGAUUAGAUACCCCAGUAGUC
This 440-nucleotide ribosomal RNA is filed under the name uncultured bacterium. RNAcentral's name for it is "partial 16S ribosomal RNA". It matches the Rfam family "Bacterial small subunit ribosomal RNA", at positions 338 to 795 of the family's 1533-position model. The record is from RNAcentral.